GAUGAAGAACGUAGUGAAAUGCGAUAACUAAUGUGAAUUGCAGAAUUCAGUGAAUCAUCGAGUCUUUGAACGCACAUUGCGCCCCCUGGUAUUCCGGGGGGCAUGCCUGUCCGAGCGUCAUUGCUGCCCUCAAGCACGGCUUGUGUGUUGGGCUCCGUCCCCCCGGGGACGGGCCCGAAAGGCAGCGGCGGCACCGAGUCCGGUCCUCGAGCGUAUGGGGCUUUGUCACCCGCUCUGUAGGCCCGGCCGGCGCCAGCCGACAACCCAUCAUCCUUUUCAGGUUGACCUCGGAUCAGGUAGGGAUACCCGCUGAACUUAAGCAUAUCAAAAGCGGAGGA
RNAcentral lists this unclassified non-coding RNA (338 nucleotides) under soil metagenome. RNAcentral's name for it is "partial contains 5.8S ribosomal RNA, internal transcribed spacer 2, and large subunit ribosomal RNA". The stretch from base 1 to 120 matches the Rfam family "5.8S ribosomal RNA", at positions 35 to 154 of the family's 154-position model. The record is from RNAcentral.